AUUGAACGCUGGCGGCAUGCUUUACACAUGCAAGUCGAACGGCAGCGCGGGCUUCGGCCUGGCGGCGAGUGGCGAACGGGUGAGUAAUACAUCGGAACGUGCCCAGCAGUGGGGGAUAGCUCGGCGAAAGCCGGAUUAAUACCGCAUACGACCUUAGGGUGAAAGCGGGGGAUCUUCGGACCUCGCGCUCUUGGAGCGGCCGAUGGCAGAUUAGCUGGUUGGUGGGGUAAAGGCGUACCAAGGCGACGAUCCGUAGCUGGUCUGAGAGGACGACCAGCCACACUGGGACUGAGACACGGCCCAGACUCCUACGGGAGGCAGCAGUGGGGAAUUUUGGACAAUGGGCGAAAGCCUGAUCCAGCAAUACCGCGUGUGUGAUGAAGGCCUUCGGGUUGUAAAGCACUUUUGGCGGGAACGAAAAGGACUGUGCCAAUACCACGGUUCGAUGACGGUACCCGCAGAAUAAGCACCGGCUAACUACGUG
This 484-nucleotide ribosomal RNA is filed under the name uncultured bacterium. Its description in RNAcentral is "partial 16S ribosomal RNA". It matches the Rfam family "Bacterial small subunit ribosomal RNA", at positions 29 to 507 of the family's 1533-position model. The record is from RNAcentral.